CCUACGGGUGGCAGCAGUGAGGAAUAUUGGUCAAUGGGCGCGAGCCUGAACCAGCCAAGUAGCGUGAAGGAUGACUGCCCUACGGGUUGUAAACUUCUUUUAUAAGGGAAUAAAGUGCGGUACGUGUCCAGUUUUGCAUGUACCUUAUGAAUAAGGAUCGGCUAACUCCGGGCCAGCAGCCGCGGUAAUACGGAGGAUCCGAGCGUUAUCCGGAUUUAUUGGGUUUAAAGGGAGCGUAGACGGGUUGUUAAGUCAGUUGUGAAAGUUUGCGGCUCAACCGUAAAAUUGCAGUUGAUACUGGCAGCCUUGAGUACAGUAGAGGUAGGCGGAAUUCGUGGUGUAGCGGUGAAAUGCUUAGAUAUCACGAAGAACUCCGAUUGCGAAGGCAGCUUACUGGACUGUAACUGACGUUGAUGCUCGAAAGUGUGGGUAUCAAACAGGAUUAGAUACCCUAGUAGUC
RNAcentral lists this ribosomal RNA (460 nucleotides) under uncultured bacterium. RNAcentral describes it as "partial 16S ribosomal RNA". It matches the Rfam family "Bacterial small subunit ribosomal RNA", at positions 338 to 795 of the family's 1533-position model. The record is from RNAcentral.